CACUAGUGAUUCUAACUCUGUGCCAGCAGCCGCGGUAAUACAGAGGUGGCAAGCGUUGUUCGGAUUUACUGGGCGUAAAGGGUGCGUAGGUGGUAUUGUGUGUCGGGCGUGAAAGCUCACCGCUCAACGGUGAAAUGUCGCCCGAAACUACAAAACUAGAGUGCAGGAGAGGAGAGCGGAAUACUUGGUGUAGCGGUGGAAUGCGUUGAGAUCAAGUAGAACACCGGUGGCGUAGGCGGCUCUCUGGAAUGUAACUGACACUGAGGCACGAAAGUUGGGGGAGCAAACAGGAUUAGAUACCCUGGUAGUCCCAACCCUAAACGGUGUACACUUGUUGUAGGGGGAAUUGACCCCCCCUGUGACGGAGCUAACGCGUUAAGUGUACCGCCUGGGGAGUACGGUCGCAAGAUUAAAACUCAAAGAAAUUGACGGGGGCCCGCACAAGCGGAGGAGCAUGUGGCUUAAUUCGAUGCAACGCGAAGAACCUUACCAGGGCUUGACAUGUAGCUGGACGUCCCAUGAAAGUGGGAUUCCUUCGAGGCUGCUACACAGGUGCUGCAUGGCUGUCGUCAGUUCGUGCCGUGAGGUGUUGGGUUAAGUCCCGCAACGAACGCAACCCCUGUAUUUAGUUGCCACCGGCGCAAGCCGAGCACUCUAAAUAGACUGCCCGUGAUAAGCGGGAGGAAGGUGGGGAUGACGUCAAGUCAGUAUGGCCUUUAUGCCCUGGGCUGCACACGUGCUACAAUGGUCGGUACAGAGGGAAGCCAAACCGCGAGGUGGAGCAAAUCCCACAAAACCGGCCCCAGUUCAGAUUGAAGGCUGCAACUCGCCUUCAUGAAGUUGGAUUCGCUAGUAAUGGCGCAUCAGCUACGGCGCCGUGAAUACGUUCCCGGGCCUUGUACACACCGCCCGUCACAUCAUGAAAGCCGUCUGCACCCGACGUCGUUGAUUCAACCCGCAAGGGAGAUAGACGCCUAAGGUGUGGGUGGUGAUUGGGAUGAAGUCGUAACAAGGUAGCCGUAA
This 1023-nucleotide ribosomal RNA is filed under the name uncultured organism. RNAcentral describes it as "bacterial SSU rRNA". It matches the Rfam family "Bacterial small subunit ribosomal RNA", at positions 485 to 1505 of the family's 1533-position model. The record is from RNAcentral.